CCCAGACUCCUACGGGAGGCAGCAGUGGGGGAUAUUGCACAAUGGGGGAAACCCUGAUGCAGCGACGCCGCGUGAGUGAAGAAGUAUUUCGGUAUGUAAAGCUCUAUCAGCAGGGAAGAAAAAAGACGGUACCUGACUAAGAAGCCCCGGCUAACUACGUGCCAGCAGCCGCGGUAAUACGUAGGGGGCAAGCGUUAUCCGGAUUUACUGGGUGUAAAGGGAGCGUAGACGGCAAUACAAGUCGGAAGUGAAAUACCCGGGCUUAACCUGGGAACUGCUUUGGAAACUGUAUGGCUGGAGUGCUGGAGAGGUAAGCGGAAUUCCUAGUGUAGCGGUGAAAUGCGUAGAUAUUAGGAGGAACACCAGUGGCGAAGGCGGCUUACUGGACAGUAACUGACGUUGAGGCUCGAAAGCGUGGGGAGCAAACAGGAUUAGAUACCCCGGUA
RNAcentral lists this ribosomal RNA (446 nucleotides) under uncultured bacterium. RNAcentral's name for it is "bacterial SSU rRNA". It matches the Rfam family "Bacterial small subunit ribosomal RNA", at positions 330 to 792 of the family's 1533-position model. The record is from RNAcentral.